RNAcentral lists this small RNA (174 nucleotides) under Chrysemys picta bellii (western painted turtle). Its description in RNAcentral is "TUC338 (ENSCPBG00000006814.1)". The record is from RNAcentral. Lineage: Eukaryota; Metazoa; Chordata; Testudines; Emydidae.
UUGACAGCCUUGGAGACCGAAGUAAUUUAGUUAUCCACACAACAGUUGUAGCAUGAGCAGCGACACUGCAAGUUUCCUGAUGCCCAGCCAAUGUGCCUCAAACCCGAGCCCACGUCUGAUUGUUGGAACCGGGCCUGAACACAGGUCCUAAAUAGCCAUCAGCUGGUGUCAUUA